GACGUUGAGGCGUACGAUGAUCCUUGAUGUUAAUCAAGAAGACUCUUCAAAGUCGGAAGACUUGAAAGUGUGUAAUUCCCCGCAGAGUCCAAUCAGGGAUGAGUGAAUGGGUAGAGAAGUGGCGAAGAGGCGUUGAGGCGUACGACGACCUUUGGAAUUAAUCAAGAAGACUCUUCAAAGUCGGAAGAUUGAAAAUUCUGUAUAACUCCCAGGAGUAUGUUUCUCGUCGAGCGCGGAGCGACU
Molecule: long non-coding RNA, 243 nt
Filed under: Lathyrus oleraceus (garden pea)
Lineage: Eukaryota; Viridiplantae; Streptophyta; Magnoliopsida; Fabales; Fabaceae
Description: Pisum sativum (pea) long non-coding RNA (PSAT_LNC024864)
Source: RNAcentral